AGAGAGAGAGAGAGAGAGAGACAGACAGAGAGGAGAGAGGGGGACCAGGACUGCUUCCAGUGGUGUUGAGGUCCUUAAAUGCCUGAGUACUCAGCAUUAGUAAGUGGCAUAUGCACAGAGAAAGUUGAAAGAGUAGAGAUAAAAGAGAGCGUAACCCAUCCCUUCUCCCAAAAAGGAAAAAAAAAAAAAGCACUUGUCUUUACUGUGGCUUUACAUGCAUCACAGGG
Molecule: unclassified non-coding RNA, 227 nt
Filed under: Hevea brasiliensis (rubber tree)
Lineage: Eukaryota; Viridiplantae; Streptophyta; Magnoliopsida; Malpighiales; Euphorbiaceae
Source: RNAcentral